This 280-nucleotide ribosomal RNA is filed under the name uncultured bacterium. RNAcentral's name for it is "partial 16S ribosomal RNA". It matches the Rfam family "Bacterial small subunit ribosomal RNA", at positions 74 to 353 of the family's 1533-position model. The record is from RNAcentral.
ACUUGCUUUCUUUGCUGGCGACCGGCGCACGGGUGAGUAACACGUAUCCAACCUGCCCUUUACUCGGGGAUAGCCUUUCGAAAGAAAGAUUAAUACCCGAUAGUAUAAUGAUUCCGCAUGGUUUCAUUAUUAAAGGAUUCCGGUAAAGGAUGGGGAUGCGUUCCAUUAGGUUGUUGGUGAGGUAACGGCUCACCAAGCCUUCGAUGGAUAGGGGUUCUGAGAGGAAGGUCCCCCACAUUGGAACUGAGACACGGUCCAAACUCCUCCGGGAAGCAGCAUG